RNAcentral lists this long non-coding RNA (203 nucleotides) under Capsicum annuum. Its description in RNAcentral is "long non-coding RNA (CANN_LNC006490)". The record is from RNAcentral. Lineage: Eukaryota; Viridiplantae; Streptophyta; Magnoliopsida; Solanales; Solanaceae.
UUCAUCUCUAUCAGCAAGGAUUUAGUCGAGGUAAUAAAUACUUGCAAUUUACCCAAGCCAAGCAUGCUAUAGAGGCAGCUUACAUUAAUGCAAUGUCAUGAAUUUUCGUUCAGCAAAACAAAUCAUCAAGUGUAAAAUUAUACACAAAUGGAAUUGGUUUUAAUAUGGUCUUCUGGUGUUUCGAAAUUAUUUUAUGAUAUAAA